RNAcentral lists this small RNA (79 nucleotides) under Nevskiaceae bacterium. RNAcentral's name for it is "sX9 sRNA". It matches the Rfam family "Xanthomonas sRNA sX9". Lineage: Bacteria; Pseudomonadati; Pseudomonadota; Gammaproteobacteria; Nevskiales; Nevskiaceae. The record is from RNAcentral.
AUGUACUCACCACGUACACUCCGUUUCCUGUGCUCCGUCCUCGCACAACCUGUCUUCGCUCGCUACGGUUAUUCAGUCC